UUCAACUUUGUUUCUGUUAUAUUUGUUAUCAUUUUUGGCUUGAUGAUACGAGUAAAUGUUUUUACCAGUUCAAUUUGUUCGUCAUAAAUUCGAUAGACUAACGGUUCUUUUUGUUCAAAAGUUAAUAUGAAUGAUUUAAAAAUAGGAAGAAUUUCAAGAGAGAUGUUCCUGUUUUAAUAACCAAAAAGAAUAAAUUAAAUUGAAAGCAGACAUCACCUCAAGCAAAAGAAUGCAAUCUAAAGCAGACCAAUCAGAAACCCUUGGCUUCGAAUUGUUGUAUGUGACCACUGUGAUAUGACAAAUUUUUUUCAGAAAUGUACGAAGAUCUUGGCUAAACUUAAAACCAAUGUAGACAUCAUCAAAUAAAUUUUUAACUAUCUUGCCAAAAGAAAAAGUAAACUUUUUAACAACAAAGUUUUGUCAAAAACUGAUUUCUGUAAACUUUAAAAAAAUGAAAUCUUUUGAAAGUGAUGUGCACAUGGUAGCAAAUACCAUCAUCAUAUAUAAUCUUGUUUCAAACCCACUGAUUCUGAUUUUUCCCCUCAUAAAGGUAGAACCUGAUAAAUUGAAAAUGUCUUUAAUGGAAUUGCGUCCUUAUUAAAUAAUUGAAUAACAGCAUCAAAAAGAUGUUCAGUGUUUACCAUAACAAGCAAUAACGAUGCAUAGUCUUUUAAUAUUAACUUUAUUAUUUAAAAUGCAACAGGUAUAUUAAGAACUUUUUCAUAUUAAAAAAAAAGCUCAGCAUGGAAAGCUUCACUUAUUCCUUCUCGCAGCUUAUAUAAAGCAGUUGUUAUAAACAUUUUCAAAUUUUUUGAAACAUGAUGAUCUUUAGACAUUUCUUUUGCGUAUUAAACCAUAUGGGAUGUUAAAGAUAUCAGAAGAUUAUGUUCACAAAUAAAUCCUAUAGCUUCUACAUUUGAUGUCGGGUCUUUAAAACUUACAAUAGGUUUAAUGGUAGGCUUUAAUCUAUUUGUGCAAGUACUGCCAAUAUGCACGCUAUCCAGAGUAUGGUAAUAUAUACAUGUAUCUGCUUUUUUUAAAUUAGUAAAAAAUGA
Hydra vulgaris (swiftwater hydra) is the source of this 1055-nucleotide non-coding RNA. Lineage: Eukaryota; Metazoa; Cnidaria; Hydrozoa; Anthoathecata; Hydridae. The record is from RefSeq and is a predicted model, not a curated record.